This is an RNA transcript of Prunus dulcis (almond), 1227 nucleotides long. It is a transcript of the gene named tRNA-specific adenosine deaminase TAD1-like, with no coding region annotated. The record is from RefSeq and is a predicted model, not a curated record. NCBI's taxonomy places the organism in Eukaryota, Viridiplantae, Streptophyta, Magnoliopsida, Rosales, Rosaceae. The transcript is spliced from 5 exons.
AUUUUCUUCUUGGGUACACAAGAUUGGCCCAAUUCUAGACCCAAAAAAUGAUUUGGAAGUCCACCCAAUCCAAAUCCAACCACGUAGUGGUCCGAAUGACCAGAAAUCGGAGGCGGCAGCCUCUCUUCUCCCACUCACCCCGACCACCACUUUCUGCAGCAUGGCGUCGCCGUCCUGCUUCGAAACGCCAUCGUCUGCUCUUUCUUCUUCUUCAAAAAUAGACUGGGCCGAGAUGGUCUCGGACAAGGUGUUCUCACUCUACAACUCUCUUCCCAAGAAAGGCAAGACUCAGGGUCGCUUUCCUCGUUUCCUCUCCUUCUCAAGAAUUGGAAGUUGUCGCGUUGGGAACUGGGACCAAAUGUCUUGGGCGUUCACUCUUGAGCUCCAACGGUGAUGUCGUCAAUGAUUCCCACGCCGAGAUUAUAGCUCGAAGAUCUUUACUGAGGUUCUUCUAUGCACAGAUUCAGUGUCUUACUCAAGUUUAUAGUAAGCAAAGUGAUAGCAAUGGAAGCACACAAAUGCAAAAUGGUGAUGCCAAAAACUUGCUUUUUGAAUUGGACCCUAAUGGUGAUGGCCAAGGAAAAUACAAAUUGAGGAAGGGUUUGCAAUUACACUUGUACAUAUCACAACUACCAUGUGGGGUUGCAUCUCCGAGUUCACUGUUGUCUCCCCCAAAAGACGUCUCACCAACAGAACGGGGUUCAUCUUUGGACGAGCUUAAUGUUUCAAUAAAUGAAAAGGCUCUGCCAAAUACUAAUGGUGAUGCUUCACAACUAAUUGGCUCGGUUCAAAGAAAGCCUGGUCGUGGUGAUACGACUUUAUCAGUUAGUUGCUCUGACAAGAUGGCUCGUUGGAAUGUAGUUGGAGUUCAAGGUUUGUCAUUUGAUCUAUCAUGUACCCAAGAUAGGGCUUCAUUCAGCCAAUCUUGGAUAUGGAAACUCUGGUCUAAAUACAUACCUUGCUUCUUUUGGUCGGGCAUCCUUGAAUGUUUGAUGGUGUACCUAGACUGAGCCAGUUUGACUAAUCUUCAUGAUUAUAUUGGCCGUACUUGGUUACAUGGGCAUUACUAGUUAUAAGUUAGUUGAUGAGGUCAUACAUAUUCUUAUUUCAGGAGCUCUGCUUUCAUUCUUUCUGCAACCUGUUUACCUUUCUUCCAUUACUGUUGGACAAUCGCCUCACGGCUCUGAAAUGGUUCUUGUGGUUGAUCGCUUGAAAAAAGCGCUGCAU